This 253-nucleotide ribosomal RNA is filed under the name uncultured bacterium. RNAcentral's name for it is "partial 16S ribosomal RNA". It matches the Rfam family "Bacterial small subunit ribosomal RNA", at positions 524 to 776 of the family's 1533-position model. The record is from RNAcentral.
UACAGAGGGUGCGAGCGUUAUUCGGAAUUAUUGGGCGUAAAGGGCGCGUAGGCGGCGAUUCAAGUGACGGGUGAAAUCCCUCGGCUUAACCGAGGAACUGCCUGUCAGACUGGGUUGCUUGAGACCGGGAGAGGCGAGUGGAAUUCCCAGUGUAGCGGUGAAAUGCGUAGAUAUUGGGAGGAACACCGGUGGCGAAGGCGGCUCUCUGGACCGAGACUGACGCUGAGGCGCGAAAGCGUGGGGAGCGAACAGG